This 357-nucleotide ribosomal RNA is filed under the name Triticum aestivum (bread wheat). RNAcentral's name for it is "partial small subunit ribosomal RNA". The record is from RNAcentral. Lineage: Eukaryota; Viridiplantae; Streptophyta; Magnoliopsida; Poales; Poaceae.
AUGAUUGUCCUUAUUCCUAAAGGUAAUGCUCCUGAAUACUUGAAAGAUUUUCGUCCAAUAAGCCUGUGCAACGUCAUCUAUAAAGUGAUCUCUAAAUGCCUUGUUAACUGCCUUCGACCUUUCUUGGAUGAGUUGGUGUCAGAAACACAGAGUGUUUUCAUUCCUGGAAGACUCAUCACGGACAACACGUAUAUCGCCUUUGAGUGUUUUUAUAAAAUCCAACACAACAAGAACGCUACCAAUAGCCAUUAUGCCCUUUUUUUGAACAACAAAAGGCGCACUAGGCGCCAAACUUUCUUAUUUCAGCUCAGAAACACCGUACAACAUGAAUUACAAAGCCCUGAAAUUGAAAAGUAG